This 253-nucleotide ribosomal RNA is filed under the name uncultured bacterium. Its description in RNAcentral is "partial 16S ribosomal RNA". It matches the Rfam family "Bacterial small subunit ribosomal RNA", at positions 109 to 353 of the family's 1533-position model. The record is from RNAcentral.
AGUAACACGUAGGUAACCUGCCCAUGUGUCCGGGAUAACUGCUGGAAACGGUAGCUAAAACCGGAUAGGUAUACGGAGCGCAUGCUCUGUAUAUUAAAGCGCCCAUCAAGGCGUGAACAUGGAUGGACCUGCGGCGCAUUAGCUAGUUGGUGAGGUAACGGCCCACCAAGGCGAUGAUGCGUAGCCGGCCUGAGAGGGUAAACGGCCACAUUGGGACUGAGACACGGCCCAAACUCCUACGGGAGGCAGCAUG